This 484-nucleotide ribosomal RNA is filed under the name uncultured bacterium. RNAcentral's name for it is "partial 16S ribosomal RNA". It matches the Rfam family "Bacterial small subunit ribosomal RNA", at positions 30 to 507 of the family's 1533-position model. The record is from RNAcentral.
AUUGAACGCUGGCGGCAGGCCUAACACAUGCAAGUCGAGCGGAUGAAGGGAGCUUGCUCCUGGAUUCAGCGGCGGACGGGUGAGUAAUGCCUAGGAAUCUGCCUGGUAGUGGGGGAUAACGUCCGGAAACGGGCGCUAAUACCGCAUACGUCCUGAGGGAGAAAGUGGGGGAUCUUCGGACCUCACGCUAUCAGAUGAGCCUAGGUCGGAUUAGCUAGUUGGUGGGGUAAAGGCCUACCAAGGCGACGAUCCGUAACUGGUCUGAGAGGAUGAUCAGUCACACUGGAACUGAAACACGGUCCAGACUCCUACGGGAGGCAGCAGUGGGGAAUAUUGGACAAUGGGCGAAAGCCUGAUCCAGCCAUGCCGCGUGUGUGAAGAAGGUCUUCGGAUUGUAAAGCACUUUAAGUUGGGAGGAAGGGCAGUAAGUUAAUACCUUGCUGUUUUGACGGUACCAACAGAAUAAGCACCGGCUAACUUCGUG